This 253-nucleotide ribosomal RNA is filed under the name uncultured bacterium. Its description in RNAcentral is "partial 16S ribosomal RNA". It matches the Rfam family "Bacterial small subunit ribosomal RNA", at positions 524 to 776 of the family's 1533-position model. The record is from RNAcentral.
UACGAAGGGGGCUAGCGUUGCUCGGAAUCACUGGGCGUAAAGGGUGCGUAGGCGGGUCUUUAAGUCAGGGGUGAAAUCCCGGAGCUCAACUCCAGAACUGCCUUUGAUACUGAGGAUCUUGAGUACGGGAGAGGUGAGUGGAACUGCGAGUGUAGAGGUGAAAUUCGUAGAUAUUCGCAAGAACACCAGUGGCGAAGGCGGCUCACUGGCCCGUUACUGACGCUGAGGCACGAAAGCGUGGGGAGCAAACAGG